GACGAACGCUGGCGGCGUGCCUAAUACAUGCAAGUCGAGCGAGCGGAGCUAACCGAUUUACUUCGGUAAUGACGUUAGGAAAGGGAGCGGCGGAUGGGUUAGUAACACGUGGGGAACCUGCCCCAUUGUCAGGGAUACCACUUGGAAACAGGUGCUAAUACCGGCUAUGAAAGCAGAUCGCAUGGUCAGCUUUUAAAAGGCGGCGUAAGCUGUCGCUAUGGGAUGGCCGCGCGGUGCAUUAGCUAGUUGGUAAGGUGAAGGCUUACCAAGGCGAUGAUGCAUAGCGCAGUUGAAAGAGUGAUUGACUACCUGGGGACUGAGACACGGCCGAAACACCGGCAGGGGGAAGCAGUAGGGAAUCUUCCGCGAGGGAGGAAAGUCGGAUGGAGCACCGCCGCGUGAGUGAAGAUGCUUUUCGGAUGGGAAAGCGCUGUUGUUGGUGAAGAAGGAUAGAGGUAGUAAGUGGGCAUUAUUUGACGGUACUCAACGAGAAAGUCACGGCUAACUACGUG
This 512-nucleotide ribosomal RNA is filed under the name uncultured bacterium. Its description in RNAcentral is "partial 16S ribosomal RNA". It matches the Rfam family "Bacterial small subunit ribosomal RNA", at positions 28 to 507 of the family's 1533-position model. The record is from RNAcentral.